AGCGGACAGAUGGGAGCUUGCUCCCUGAUGUUAGCGGCGGACGGGUGAGUAACACGUGGGUAACCUGCCUGUAAGACUGGGAUAACUCCGGGAAACCGGGGCUAAUACCGGAUGGUUGUUUGAACCGCAUGGUUCAAACAUAAAAGGUGGCUUCGGCUACCACUUACAGAUGGACCCGCGGCGCAUUAGCUAGUUGGUGAGGUAACGGCUCACCAAGGCAACGAUGCGUAGCCGACCUGAGAGGGUGAUCGGCCACACUGGGACUGAGACACGGCCCAGACUCCUACGGGAGGCAGCAGUAGGGAAUCUUCCGCAAUGGACGAAAGUCUGACGGAGCAACGCCGCGUGAGUGAUGAAGGUUUUCGGAUCGUAAAGCUCUGUUGUUAGGGAAGAACAAGUACCGUUCGAAUAGGGCGGUACCUUGACGGUACCUAACCAGAAAGCCACGGCUAACUACGUGCCAGCAGCCGCGGUAAUACGUAGGUGGCAAGCGUUGUCCGGAAUUAUUGGGCGUAAAGGGCUCGCAGGCGGUUUCUUAAGUCUGAUGUGAAAGCCCCCGGCUCAACCGGGGAGGGUCAUUGGAAACUGGGGAACUUGAGUGCAGAAGAGGAGAGUGGAAUUCCACGUGUAGCGGUGAAAUGCGUAGAGAUGUGGAGGAACACCAGUGGCGAAGGCGACUCUCUGGUCUGUAACUGACGCUGAGGAGCGAAAGCGUGGGGAGCGAACAGGAUUAGAUACCCUGGUAGUCCACGCCGUAAACGAUGAGUGCUAAGUGUUAAGGGGGUUUCCGCCCCUUAGUGCUGCAGCUAACGCAUUAAGCACUCCGCCGGGGGAGUACGGUCGCAAGACUGAAACUCAAAGGAAUUGACGGGGGCCCGCACAAUCGGUGGAACAUGUGGUUUAAUUCGAAGCAACCCGUAGAACCUUAACAGGUCUUGACAUCCUCUGACAAUCCUAAA
Molecule: ribosomal RNA, 959 nt
Filed under: Bacillus subtilis
Lineage: Bacteria; Bacillati; Bacillota; Bacilli; Caryophanales; Bacillaceae
Description: bacterial SSU rRNA
Rfam family: Bacterial small subunit ribosomal RNA
Source: RNAcentral